Molecule: ribosomal RNA, 217 nt
Filed under: uncultured bacterium
Lineage: Bacteria
Description: partial 16S ribosomal RNA
Rfam family: Bacterial small subunit ribosomal RNA
Source: RNAcentral
CAAUCUCAGUUCAGACUGCAGGCUGCAACUCGCCUGCACGAAGUCGGAAUUGCUAGUAAUCGUAGGUCAGCACACUACGGUGAAUACGUUCCCGGGCCUUGUACACACCGCCCGUCAAACCAUGAGAGUUGGCAACACCCGAAGUCGGUAGUCUAACCGCAAGGAGGACGCCGCGAAGGUGGGGUUGAUGAUUAGGGUUAAGUCGUAACAAGGUAAC